This 72-nucleotide transfer RNA is filed under the name Patescibacteria group bacterium. RNAcentral's name for it is "tRNA-Arg". It matches the Rfam family "tRNA". Rfam says of the family: Transfer RNA (tRNA) molecules are approximately 80 nucleotides in length. Their secondary structure includes four short double-helical elements and three loops (D, anti-codon, and T loops). The record is from RNAcentral.
GCACCCGUCGUUCAAUGGAUAGGACACUGGCCUGCGAAGCCGGAAAUCCAGGUUCGACUCCUGGCGGGUGCA